UGUACUUCAUUUGUUCCACACCUGGUCACUGUUCCGGCGGCAUGAAGCUAGCAGUCACCGUUGUCGCAGCCAGUGGCACCCCAAGUACCCCCACCACACCUGCCCCCCCAGUAUCCGACGGUGGUUCAACCACCCACCAACCACCCCAUCAACCACCAGUACCACACCACCACCACCAUCGAAGAAUAAUAAUGGAGCCACCAGCAUUUUAUAUAACAUGAUGCUUGGUGUCUUUCUUGUAUUCGGAACAACUGUUGCAUUGAUGGGCUAGUG
RNAcentral lists this long non-coding RNA (273 nucleotides) under Populus tremula. RNAcentral's name for it is "long non-coding RNA (PTRE_LNC000912)". Lineage: Eukaryota; Viridiplantae; Streptophyta; Magnoliopsida; Malpighiales; Salicaceae. The record is from RNAcentral.